AUAUCGCGAGGUGCCAGCCGCCGCGGUAAUACGUAGGUGGCGAGCGUUGUCCGGAAUUACUGGGUGUAAAGGGCGUGUAGGCGGGAUUGCAAGUCAGAUGUGAAAUUCUUGAGCUUAACUCAAGAGCUGCAUCUGAAACUGUGAUUCUUGAGUACUGGAGAGGAUAGUGGAAUUCCUAGUGUAGCAGUGAAAUGCGUAGAUAUUAGGAGGAACACCAGUGGCGAAGGCGACUAUCUGGACAGUAACUGACGCUGAGGCGCGAAAGCGUGGGGAGCAAACAGGAUUAGAUACCCCAGUAGUCCUAGCCGUAAACGAUGGAUACUAGGCGCUGUGCGUAUCGACCCGUGCAGUGCUGUAGCUAACGCGUUAAGUAUCCCGCCUGGGGAGUACGUUCGCAAGAAUGAAACUCAAAGGAAUU
This 418-nucleotide ribosomal RNA is filed under the name uncultured bacterium. RNAcentral's name for it is "bacterial SSU rRNA". It matches the Rfam family "Bacterial small subunit ribosomal RNA", at positions 495 to 911 of the family's 1533-position model. The record is from RNAcentral.